RNAcentral lists this ribosomal RNA (456 nucleotides) under uncultured Alphaproteobacteria bacterium. Its description in RNAcentral is "bacterial SSU rRNA". It matches the Rfam family "Bacterial small subunit ribosomal RNA", at positions 929 to 1382 of the family's 1533-position model. The record is from RNAcentral. Lineage: Bacteria; Pseudomonadati; Pseudomonadota; Alphaproteobacteria.
GCGGUGGAGCAUGUGGUUUAAUUCGAAGCAACGCGCAGAACCUUACCAGCCCUUGACAUCCCGGUCGCGGAUCGCAGAGAUGCUUUCCUUCAGUUCGGCUGGACCGGUGACAGGUGCUGCAUGGCUGUCGUCAGUUCGUGUCGUGAGAUGUUGGGUUAAGUCCCGCAACGAGCGCAACCCCCGCCUUCAGUUGCCAACGGUUCGGCCGUGCACUCUGGAGGAACUGCCUGUGACAAGCAGGAGGAAGGUGGGGAUGACGUCAAGUCCUCAUGGCCCUUAUGGGCUGGGCUACACACGUGCUACAAUGGCGGUGACAGAGGGAUGCAAUACCGCGAGGUGGAGCAAAUCCCUAAAAGCCGUCUCAGUUCGGAUUGUUCUCUGCAACUCGAGAGCAUGAAGUUGGAAUCGCUAGUAAUCGCAGAUCAGCUCGCUGCGGUGAAUACGUUCCCGGGCCUU